GACGAACCGUGCGAACGUUGUUCGGAUUCACUGGGCUUAAAGGGCGCGUAGGCGGGUUGUCAAGUCAGGGGUGAAAUCUUUCGGCUCAACCGGAAAAGUGCUUCUGAUACUGGCAACCUGGAGGGAGGUAGGGGCAGAUGGAACUUCCGGUGGAGCGGUGAAAUGCGUAGAUAUCGGAAGGAACGCCGGUGGCGAAAGCGAUCUGCUGGACCUCUUCUGACGCUGAUGCGCGAAAGCCAGGGGAGCAAACGGG
RNAcentral lists this ribosomal RNA (253 nucleotides) under uncultured bacterium. RNAcentral describes it as "partial 16S ribosomal RNA". It matches the Rfam family "Bacterial small subunit ribosomal RNA", at positions 524 to 776 of the family's 1533-position model. The record is from RNAcentral.